Molecule: ribosomal RNA, 254 nt
Filed under: uncultured bacterium
Lineage: Bacteria
Description: partial 16S ribosomal RNA
Rfam family: Bacterial small subunit ribosomal RNA
Source: RNAcentral
UACGUAGGGGGCGAGCGUUGUCCGGAUUUAUUGGGCGUAAAGAGCUCGUAGGCGGUUUGGUAAGUCGGGUGUGAAAUCUCCACGCUCAACGUGGAGGGGCCACUCGAUACUGCCAUGACUCGAGUCCGGUAGAGGAGUGUGGAAUUCCCGGUGUAGCGGUGAAAUGCGUAGAUAUCAGGAGGAACACCUGUGGCGAAAGCGGCGCACUGGACCACAACUGACGCUGAGGCGCGAAAGCUAGGGGAGCAAACAGG